AUGUGGGUCAGGGCGAGGUCGACGAGCGCGUCGACCGUGGCGGGGUCGUACGCGUCCGAACCGAGGCGGCCGGAGGAGUGCGCUGAAGUGGAGCGUCUUGCGAACGGUGAGGAGCGGGAAGAGAACGUCGCGCUGGGUGACGUAGCCGCAGAGGCGGCGCAGGGCCACAGUGUUGACCGGGGAGCCAUUGACGCGGAGGUCAGUAGGAGGGGAGGAGCUCGGUUUGAGACGGCCGGAAAGGAUCUCGAGCAGCAUGGACUUGACGUCUCCGCAGGGCCCGACGAUGGCGAGCAGCUCACCGGGGCGGGCGUGGCAGAUGACGUUGCGAAGCACGAGGCGGCACCGGCUGCUGCCGCUCACUGGCGGAGGGGCAUGUGCAGUACGGCCGCUGGCGGCAUCGAGGAGAAAACGUGA
Molecule: ribosomal RNA, 414 nt
Filed under: Triticum aestivum (bread wheat)
Lineage: Eukaryota; Viridiplantae; Streptophyta; Magnoliopsida; Poales; Poaceae
Description: partial small subunit ribosomal RNA
Source: RNAcentral